This 77-nucleotide transfer RNA is filed under the name Bdellovibrio sp. RNAcentral's name for it is "tRNA-Asp". It matches the Rfam family "tRNA". From Rfam's summary of the family: Transfer RNA (tRNA) molecules are approximately 80 nucleotides in length. Their secondary structure includes four short double-helical elements and three loops (D, anti-codon, and T loops). Lineage: Bacteria; Pseudomonadati; Bdellovibrionota; Bdellovibrionia; Bdellovibrionales; Pseudobdellovibrionaceae. RNAcentral also lists the same sequence under 5 other names. The record is from RNAcentral.
GGGGGCGUAGUUGAGUUGGUUACAACAUCGCCCUGUCACGGCGAAGGUCGACGGUUCGAGCCCGUUCGCUCCCGCCA